This 253-nucleotide ribosomal RNA is filed under the name uncultured bacterium. RNAcentral describes it as "partial 16S ribosomal RNA". It matches the Rfam family "Bacterial small subunit ribosomal RNA", at positions 524 to 776 of the family's 1533-position model. The record is from RNAcentral.
UACGUAGGUGGCAAGCGUUGUCCGGAUUUAUUGGGUUUAAAGGGUGCGUAGGCGGCCCUGUAAGUCAGUGCUGAAAUAUCCCGGCUUAACCGGGAGGGUGGCAUUGAUACUGCAGGGCUUGAGUAAAGUUGAGGUUGGCGGAAUUGACGGUGUAGCGGUGAAAUGCUUAGAUAUCGUCAAGAACACCGAUAGUGAAGACAGCUAACUAAGCUUUAACUGACGCUGAGGCACGAAAGUGUGGGGAUCAAACAGG